GUCUCUUCGGGGAUGAUUAAACCGGCGCACGGGUGAGUAACACGUGAGUGACCUGCCUUUUAGACUGGAACAACUUACCGAAAGGUGAGCUAAUGCCGGAUGAGUUAUAUAAGUGCAUGUUUAUAUAGGAAAAGUUGGGGAGACCUGACGCUGAAAGAUGGACUCGCGUCCCAUUAGCUAGUUGGUAGGGUAAUGGCCUACCAAGGCGACGAUGGGUAGCCGGCCUGAGAGGGUGGCCGGCCACACUGGGACUGAGACACGGCCCAGACUCCUACGGGAGGCAGCAGUGGGGAAUUUUGCGCAAUGCUCGUAAGAGUGACGCAGCGACGCCGCGUGAAUGACGAAGGCCUUCGGGUCGUAAAGUUCUUUCGACAGGGAAGAAAAUGCCUAUAAGUAACUGUGUAUGUAUUGACGGUACCUGUAUAAGCAGCCCCGGCUAACUCCGUGCCAGCAGCCGCGGUAAUACGGAGGGGGCGAGCGUUGUUCGGAGUGACUGGGCGUAAAGAGCACGUAGGCGGUGUUGUAAGUCAUUAGUCAAAGACUAGAGCUCAACUUUAGUAAGGCUAGUGAUACUAUAAUACUAGAGUAUCAGAGAGGAUUGCAGAAUUCCUGGUGUAGCGGUGAAAUGCGUAGAUAUCAGGAGGAAUACCGUUAGCGAAGGCGGCAAUCUGGCUGGAAACUGACGCUGAGGUGCGAAAGCGUGGGUAGCAAACAGGAUUAGAUACCCUGGUAGUCCACGCUGUAAACGAUGGAUGCUAGGUGUUGGGCUUUUAAGUUCAGUGCCGCAGCAAACGCGAUAAGCAUCCCGCCUGGGGAGUACGUUUGCAAGAAUGAAACUCAAAGGAAUUGACGGGGGCC
Molecule: ribosomal RNA, 858 nt
Filed under: uncultured bacterium
Lineage: Bacteria
Description: bacterial SSU rRNA
Rfam family: Bacterial small subunit ribosomal RNA
Source: RNAcentral